AGUGAACGCUGGCGGUAGGCCUAACACAUGCAAGUCGAACGGCAGCACAGGAGAGCUUGCUCUCUGGGUGGCGAGUGGCGGACGGGUGAGGAAUACAUCGGAAUCUGCCCAGUCGUGGGGGAUAACGUAGGGAAACUUACGCUAAUACCGCAUACGACCUUCGGGUGAAAGAGGGGGAGCGCAAGACCUCUCGCGAUUGGAUGAGCCGAUGUCGGAUUAGCUAGUUGGCGGGGUAAUGGCCCACCAAGGCGACGAUCCGUAGCUGGUCUGAGAGGAUGAUCAGCCACACUGGAACUGAGACACGGUCCAGACUCCUACGGGAGGCAGCAGUGGGGAAUAUUGGACAAUGGGCGCAAGCCUGAUCCAGCCAUACCGCGUGGGUGAAGAAGGCCUUCGGGUUGUAAAGCCCUUUUGUUGGGAAAGAAAUCUUUCAGGCUAAUACCCUGGGAGGAUGACGGUACCCAAAGAAUAAGCACCGGCUAACUUCGUG
This 490-nucleotide ribosomal RNA is filed under the name uncultured bacterium. RNAcentral's name for it is "partial 16S ribosomal RNA". It matches the Rfam family "Bacterial small subunit ribosomal RNA", at positions 29 to 507 of the family's 1533-position model. The record is from RNAcentral.